ACCCUAGAUCUGGUUCUUCGUUCUCCUUCUCUUAAACUCUGUCGCUCCAUAACCCUAACUCUCAAUUCGCCAUGGAGGAUGCCUAUCUGACCCGUGUAUGUUGACCCGCUAUAUUUUGACUCAUCUACGUUAUUUUCCAAAACCCUAGACAGCCUUCCUUUCCAUUCUGCUUCAUCUCCAUUCUGGUUCACGCAUAUGCAUUCGAACGAUUCAAGCAUCAGUUACUAUGGAGAAAUCAGAGUCGGUGGUAGCCAAAACAAGAGAGGGACGUAGAUUUUGACUGGUUGGAAGAUAGAGAAAAGAAGUGGGUGAUGGUGGAUUCAAGCGAUUCUGUAUUUGUUGAUAUGGAAACGAUUUAUCUUGGUGGAAAGUGGAGUGUUUGUAACUAUUAUGAAGAUUUUUUAUGAUUCCAACAAGAUGGUCAACAUAAAAUACAUGACAUUAACAACACCAGUCAACUUAAACAAGUUCUUGGAAGCCAUCAAGAUACAUGUAUUUGUUGCAUCUGAAUAUCCUUUCAUCCUCACUCUUGAAGAUCACCUGACUCCUGAUUUUUGGUUUCUUUGCAAGGUUAUUCAUGCAGUUUACAUGGUUUUUGCUAUAGAUAUGGAGUAAGGACUAAAGCCGGUAAGAAACAAUCAUCAGAAGAUGAAGAUGCUGGUGUCAAAAUAGCACAUUCUGCAGGAGCUUCAAUUCGACGACACAAUGAACUUGCCUUAAAUAAGUGGGACAGGUAAAAGAGCUAUAUGAUGAAAUAUGACUUCGUUCACCUCACUGAGCGGUGGAUGCAGUUAGACUAUGAUUUGUAACGCAAGUGUGUGGAGGUGACUUCACUGAGCGGUGGAUGCGGUAGUAUUGUACAUGAACGAACUUCAUGAGAAGAAGGAUGAGAAGGUUCAACCAGUCAAAAAGAAGAAAUCAUGGACUCAAACUUUCUUUUCAAUGUCUAACAAACGCAAGCGGAUCACCAUGACUAACUGAACACGUAACUUGCACGAGUGUCAAACCGUCAAUGAGUUUUUAUAUGUAGGCAGGAAAAUGGAAGGAAGGAGAUGCUGAGCUGUCAUGGGCUGGAACUAUGAACAAACCUAAGUUCUUCAAUUCUGUGAAAUCAGUACAUUACAAGGGGCUUUCGAUUGCAGAUGAAGGAAGGUAGAGGUGGGAGGACAGCGCGAUGACAUGGUUAAAAACAAAGGAUUCUUGCCUUUUGGUCCUUCAAAAAUUCCUGUUCAGAGGAGUCAGAUGAAUGACAUUAUUUUUUCGUUACUUGCAGCAUGCAAAGAACCAGAUGUUGAUACUGGAAUCCCGUUUAAAGCUGAUGCAAUGAUAGCCAAUCCCCCAGCAUAUAUGGCCUACAAGCGAAUUUCCUCAUCCUCUAUCUCGUGUCAAGCAACCGGCUGGUUAUAGACCGUCAUAUCAAAUAGUUGACUCUUUGAUUUGGCUUGGAAUUCGGGACAUGAUAAAUGAUUUUAGGAAGAAAAAGUUAAAGUUGCGGCCUGUCGCCUGUCACAUAUUUAAGUGGCUCUCAAGCCGAAAGAUAUGCAAUGAUAAAGAUCAAGCAAAUUCAUGGUUUCGUGGCUUAAAACUGUACUUUACUCGCUUUGUUUUUUUUUUUUUUAAAUUAAGGAAUUUUGGCUUGAGUUGUAGUCAUAUAAGUUUAAUAAAUUUUGGCCUUAUUAAGUUUUUAAACUAUAAUUUGUUUAACCAAGUGAUAUUAAGCCGAUAAUAAUUGAUUUUGUUAUGUUUCA
Molecule: long non-coding RNA, 1748 nt
Organism: Helianthus annuus (common sunflower)
Lineage: Eukaryota; Viridiplantae; Streptophyta; Magnoliopsida; Asterales; Asteraceae
Exons: 12
Source: RefSeq, a predicted model, not a curated record